Molecule: ribosomal RNA, 164 nt
Filed under: uncultured bacterium
Lineage: Bacteria
Description: partial 16S rRNA
Rfam family: Bacterial small subunit ribosomal RNA
Source: RNAcentral
UAGGGAAUCUUCCAUAAUGGGCGCAAGCCUGAUGGAGCAACACCGCGUGAGUGAAGAAGGGUUUCGGCUCGUAAAGCUCUGUUGUUAAAGAAGAACACGUAUGAGAGUAACUGUUCAUACGUUGACGGUAUUUAACCAGAAAGUCACGGCUAACUACGUGCCAG